RNAcentral lists this unclassified non-coding RNA (382 nucleotides) under Hevea brasiliensis (rubber tree). The record is from RNAcentral. Lineage: Eukaryota; Viridiplantae; Streptophyta; Magnoliopsida; Malpighiales; Euphorbiaceae.
AAAAUACCAAGAAUCACGAAUUUAGCGAGACCCCAUUUAUAGAAAAAGUUGAUUUUUAGUGGUUUAAAGUAAGUUUAACCAAAUGGGUAUAUGAAGAAAGCAAGAUUUAACGAGAACCCAUUACCAAGAACUUGAAAAGGAAUGAUUUUAACAAUGAAUUAGCCAAAGGGGUACCAAAGAAAGUAGCUUUUCACUCUUACAUUACCUAGAAUUAGAACCCUUGAAGAAAAAUUAGUUAUUUGAGCAGAGCAAUAACCAGUUUACAUGAGUCAAUAGAAGAAAAUGAAUAGGAAGUCUAACAAAAUGUAGCAAGAAAACUCAAUGCAGAUAUGGAGGAGUAAUGGGUGAGUUGCUGAUGGAAGUAAGCUUCUCUAUGGUUGAG